GGGGAAAAUAGCUCAACAAUGAGAGAGCACCUAGGUUCUCAUCUAGGUUAUGGUGGUGCAAGCCCACCUAUCUCCACCA
RNAcentral lists this transfer RNA (79 nucleotides) under bacterium. RNAcentral describes it as "tRNA-Glu". It matches the Rfam family "tRNA". Rfam says of the family: Transfer RNA (tRNA) molecules are approximately 80 nucleotides in length. Their secondary structure includes four short double-helical elements and three loops (D, anti-codon, and T loops). Further hydrogen bonds mediate the characteristic L-shaped molecular structure. tRNAs have two regions of fundamental functional importance: the anti-codon, which is responsible for specific mRNA codon recognition, and the 3' end, to which the tRNAs corresponding amino acid is attached (by aminoacyl-tRNA synthetases). tRNAs cope with the degeneracy of the genetic code in two manners: having more than one tRNA (with a specific anti-codon) for a particular amino acid; and 'wobble' base-pairing, i.e. permitting non-standard base-pairing at the 3rd anti-codon position. The record is from RNAcentral.